This 17347-nucleotide long non-coding RNA is filed under the name Nicotiana benthamiana. Its description in RNAcentral is "long non-coding RNA (NBEN_LNC034941)". The record is from RNAcentral. Lineage: Eukaryota; Viridiplantae; Streptophyta; Magnoliopsida; Solanales; Solanaceae.
UGAGAAGCAUUUUUAAAAUCUUGAGCUGCACCUUGCUUCAGAGGUUGCCUACAUAUCCUCGGCUAAUGAGGAAUCAGGUCAGUGUAGUUCAGGAGUGUUUGGUAGCUGGGACUACCGGGGCUAUGAUUUCACUGUUGCUACUGCUGCUACUGUUGCUACUGCUACUAGACCCCCUUAUUAUACCUUGUGAAAAACAAAGAGGCUGACUAAGCUAUGAACUAUGGAUUACAAAAGAACCUAUCUAUGUCUUCGAUUUUGAUCUUGAUCCUUGUUUGCUUUGUUUCCUUGUAUUUAGGAUUACAAACGAACCUAUCUAUGUAUUCAAAAUUGCUCUUGAUCUUUGUUGCCUUGUGUAUCUCCCUGAGAAACUUCUUGUUUUCUUACUGUACUUCCUUCUGGGAAACUUCUUGUUGACCUGCUGCUAUGUUUCUCUAUAUCCAUAUUAAAGCUUGAUAGUUAGACUUGAAUUGUAAUCCCUUGUUCUCCAGGUGAGCGCCUGACUACCAACUUGAAAAAUUGAAAAGUAUUUCCUUGUUCUCCAGGUGGACGCCUGAUUAGAAAAACUUGAAACUUGAAAUGUAUUCCCUUGUUGACAAGGUGGGAACCUGAUUACCAAAACUUGAAACUUGAAAAGUAUUCCCUUUUUCUCCAAGUGGGCGCCUGAUUACCAAAACUUGAAACUUGAAAUGUAUUCCCUCGUUCUCUAGGUGGGCGCUUGAUUGCCAAAACUUGAAACUUGAAAUUCCCUUAUUCUCCAGGUGGACGCCUGAUUACCAAAACUUGAAACUUGAAAAGUAUUCCCUUGUACUCCAGGUGGGCGCCUGAUUACCAAAACUUGAAACUUGAAAAGUAUUCCCUUGUUCUCCAGGUGGGCGCCUGAUUACCAAGACUUGAAACUUGAAAUUAGGAUCGUAGAAUCAUCAUCGAAACUUCACCAAAGCAAAAGGCUCUUUCAUGCUUAGUCACAGCCAAUAGGUCUCACUAUCAAUUAGUAGCUAGUACACCAGGCUAGUUUCAACAUUAUCAGGGACAACUGCUCGAUUUCAAAUUUAUCAGAUGUAUAUGUUCAGAUUCGAAUACAGCUGACUUUACAAAUUCCUUAUGGACACUCAAACCAGAAAACCUUUCAAUACUAACAUUAAUUAAUCUAUAAAAGACAACAUGCUGAUUAUUUGAAUAAAAAACCAAACUAAACUUAUUCUUUAAAUAUGUGAGUACCAGAAUUAAAAUUUGAAAUAACAUGUGAAUAACAAUCAGAUCUCUUCACGAUCCAGAACAUAUGUAACAUGAUAUAAUCCUUCUACACCAAACUCCAAAUUGGAACACAGUUUACUAAUCACAAAACUUAAAGAACAGAACACUUCAGGUACCCAGAGUCUGACAUCAGGCCAAAUCCUCAAGAAUACACACUCAUCUUUGCCAUACUUGAAUAAUCCGAAACCUUUAGUGGCACAUAUAUUUUUUUAAAAAAAGAAAAAUAUAGCAUGUUGAAAGUAAAUAGGAAACACAAGAGAUAACAACCGAUUACAACUUGGAUUCAAUCCAAUUUCCAUUCAAACACAUGCUUGCAAUCAAAUUGUUGUCCACAUUUGAGAUGUUACCUGAAAAUGAAGAAGGAAAACAAAAAAAGUGAAGGAUCAACAAUCAAUAGUAGCAAAACUGAGCUUUGAUCAAUUUACAUUAAGAGUACUGGCAUUUAUAAAAGGAAAUCAAUUACUGCUAUAAUCAAGUUAUUGAAUAAAAUUUUUCUAUAAUCAAGCUAGUGAAUAAAAUUAAAUCUAGUUAAUUUUUUUUACUAAUUAUACUAAUCAAUACUAAAUCUUCAAGUUGGUGCAAAUAUGUGGCACAUACCCAGCUUGCAAACUAAAGUGUGAAGACCUUUUGCUGAGAAUUUCUGUAAGCAUAUUCACUAGCGACUUUUCUAAUGGCACAUGCAGCAAACUCAAGAUACCAACAACAACCUUUACUUUAAUGAAAUGUUGAUCAAUUUCACCCUAUUUUAUUUUAUCACGUUGAACAAGAUUAUAAGCUAUAGCAGACUUCUUGUUGCAGUACAAGGAAGGUUUUCCUGGGUCAAACAAUCUAAAUUCCUCUAUUUAACUUUUGUAGCCAAAGAAGUCCACAAACACCUGGGUCAUUGCUCUAUAUUCUGUUUCUGCGCAGCUACAUUUUGUUUAUUGCUUUUCCAAGUAACUAAGUUCCUUCCCAUGAGUGUACAUUAAAGGGUCAUUCCGGCAGCAUAGCUGGUUUUUGAUCAGCCUCAUCAACAUUCUUGGUAUUAAAUUCUUUUAGUAGACAUAUUACUUUGCAGUGGGAUUUAAGUCCUAUGAUAUCAUCAGAAGCGCCAACAGAUAUGAGGAGUGGUACAAAUGGAUAGAUGGAAACUUCAUGACCACUCAUCAGAAGUUUUUUGUGCCAAAAACUUCAAUCAUUCCUGAAAUGGCAUUCAAUGUGGGGUGGCUGGAGAGCUAAAGAUUGAGAGGUUCAUUAAUUACAAAGGUCAUUUGUUAGUUACAAAUGUUUCUAAACGUACAUAGGAAGGCCUUCUCUAUUCUGACACUAUCAGAAGGUAUAAAUGGUUAUCUAGAGACAUUCAAGAAGCUACGAUUCAGGCAGUAGGAGGCAUCAUACACAUCGAGAGAGUAACCAGCUUAAUUCAAAUUGAUCUUCUUGAAAGAAGUAUGGUUGGAAGCAUAUAUUUGAUAUUCCUACCUUGUUGGAAAUCCGUCGAUGGGCCAGCAACUCUUGGAAACAGGCACAUGGAACUAACAUAUACGAGAUGGGUAAUCAUCUCGAAAAUUUAGAUCUGGUGAGAAGCUCCGGUGAGAACCAGUACGCGAGCUGUUGGAGGGGAGAGGCACACGAAACAGUGGGUGGCUCAAGAAAAGAUAACUCUGACAAGGCACAUGGGUUCUUAAAAAGUGGCAGAGGCACCGAGUAACUCUAAUUUAGAGACCCCACGUGAGACAGGGUUAUCAGCUCCUAUUUCUAAUGGGUGUGAAGUUUUAAAAAUAAAAUCUUUGAAGCCCAGAUAUUUUAGCCCAAAGUAUUCUAAAAAUAGGAUUUUUAUCUAUGAUUAAUAUCUUAUUUAUUUUAAUAAAAUUAUAUUUAUACCUAUAAGCCAUUGUAACACCCCGCAAAUUCGACUUAGGUAUGAAUGAGUUAAAGGAGUAGUAUGGUUAAUUUUUGGAGUGAAGUCCCAUCAGGAUGAUUAUGGGUAAAAUAAUUGUUUUAAAAUCGAGAUGAAAAGUGGGUGCAUAAGAUUUGGCAAAAUCGACUAAGUUUGCAGAAAAGGUCAAUAUGUGUUUUUUUCAAGUUUUUCUAUUCCAUAAAACAUUCAUAAUUGUAAAAAAAAGGUUCUCUAUUGACUGGUAUCUUUAUUUCACAUUAUUUUUUAUUCAUAAAAUCUAUACCUAUAGAAUUUGCUAAUCGGCUGUUCUGUAGAAAGGAAAUUAGUUGAACUUAAUAAAAAUAAAAAAUAAAAUAAAGAAUCCAAUGUAGAAAGGAAAUUAGUUGAACUUAAUAAAAUAAAAAAUAAAAUAAAGAAUCGGCCUGUCUUCCAGCAGGGUUUAAUAUAUGUGUAAGGAAUUUAAGAAAACUCAAAGAAUAAAAGUUAUAGGCCUUUGAGAUAUAUUUCCAACGAUAUAUUAUGGAGCCCAAACAGAUAUCUGUGCAAAAUGUUAUGUGCAUUUUAUAGAACAAUAUGCAGUAUGCACGCCCCUAGCGCGACCGCACUUCUUUUGAGGUAGUGUUACUAUCGUUUUGCGCGGUCAGUAGCGCAGUCAGGUCACCAGGUGUGCGGUCGCGCUCGUGGGGGGGUUGUUUUAAAGCCAUAUUUCGUCCCCCCACAUCCCCAAAAUAUAAAAAGUUUCUCUAGAAAGGGGAACUCUAAAAACCUAACUCCUUAAGGGUCCUUCCACCGCCCAAGGUAAGUUCUAAUGGUGAUUCUAAGUUAAUUUUAAUUUCACAACAUCUUAUUAACAUGGUUAAACCCUCCACAUCAUUAGAUAUUCGAUCAGGGCAUCAUUGUUUGUCACACCUCCUUUUUUACACACCUCGAAAGGUAUAUAAAUGAAGUUUUUCCAAUUUAAGUGACAUUAUUCGAAAUGAGAUUAUUUAUUUGAUUUUUGUUCAGAGUCACCACUGGGUAUAGGUUUGUUUUCUGGUGUCCCAAGUCGACGUUUAAUUUUAAAUCCCAAAUCAAGGAGAAUUCGACUUUCCUUGUGAAGUCUGCGAACCAGAAAUUCCAGAUAAGGAAUUUUGUUAACCCGAAUGAAGGUGUUAGGCACCUUCGGAUUCCGUGGUUCUAGCACGGUGGCUUAAACUAUUACAAUUGGCCUAUUAUUUGAUUUUAAUACACCUUUAGCCAAUGGUAUAAUUUUAAACUAUUAGACCGCUUUUAAUUAAUUUUAAAUCAACAUUAUCUAAAAUACGUCCUUGAUCCAUGCCACAUGAAAUGCAUCCACGGUCUACACAUAUUUUAUUUAACGUUUUGAGAUUUAGAGUUGGGUCACAUGAAAUGCACACCCGAGUUUAGGAAGGUAAUAUUAUUAAAAUAAUAUACCUAAAGCAACUAGACAUUUGUAACUUUGCAAGGGACAUGAAAAUUCGCUAAAUGGCACGCCUCGAUUCUAAGGAUUCGACACAUUAAUCAAAUGAGGACCAUGUAAUUAUUCAUUUUGUUUGGUACGACGCGCCUCAAUUUAUUCUAACCAAAGUAUUUUUAAACUAACUCAUGAAGACCAUAAACUGUUAUUGUUUUUGAAUGGGACACCUCGAUUAAUCAAGGCCCAACACAUUAAUUAAAAAAGCCUAUGGAAUUAUAAAGACCUUGGGCUCAUAGUUCAACACCAAUUAAUUAACUGAAAUGAACUAAUUGCAUAAGGAAAACUAACUGAUGAGAUAAUAAAUUAAUAAGAACGCCUUAGUUUGAUUGACUCUCACCUGGGCUUGCGUUAGGCCCAACUCAUACGCCCCACAUUAUUCAAGUCACUUAACUAAUGCUAGCUACUAAUGCUACCAUGGAUUGAGAUCGACUUUAAAAAACUUUGAUCUUAAAUUUCACAUACCGAUUAAUCAUCCAGCCUUGAUGAUCUUAAAAUUAUGCGUACAAUUGAACUAACUUGGUUGCUGAAAGAGCCAACAAUCAACGAGUGAGCCACUAGGCUCAAAGGACAAGCCGAAAAGCCCAACAAUAGCCACUUUUAAUUGAAGAUCGUCUCAAAUCUCCACACUCAAUGAGCCCAAGUCAGGCAGGACCAGGAAUGAGGAUCGUAGACUCAUCAUCGAAACUUCACCAAAGCAAAAGGCUCUUUCAUGCUUAGUCACAGCCAAUAGGUCUCACUAUCAAUUAGUAGCUAGUACACCAGGCUAGUUUCAACAUUAUCAGGGACAACUGCUCGAUUUCAAAUUUAUCAGAUGUAUAUGUUCAGAUUCGAAUACAGCUGACUUUACAAAUUCCUUAUGGACACUCAAACCAGAAAACCUUUCAAUACUAACAUUAAUUAAUCUAUAAAAGACAACAUGCUGAUUAUUUGGAUAAAAAACCAAACUAAACUUAUUCUUUAAAUAUGUGAGUACCAGAAUUAAAAUUUGAAAUAACAUGUGAAUAACAAUCAGAUCUCUUCACGAUCCAGAACAUAUGUAACAUGAUAUAAUCCUUCUACACCAAACUCCAAAUUGGAACACAGUUUACUAAUCAUAAAACUUAAAGAACAGAACACUUCAGGCACCCAGAGUCUGACAUCAGGCCAAAUCCUCAAGAAUACACACUCAUCUUUGCCAUACUUGAAUAAUCCGAAACCUUUAGUGGCACAUAUAUUUUUUUAAAAAAAGAAAAAUAUAGCAUGUUGAAAGUAAAUAGGAAACACAAGAGAUAACAACCGAUUACAACUUGGAUUCAAUCCAAUUUCCAUUCAAACACAUGCUUGCAAUCAAAUUGUUGUCCACAUUUGAGAUGUUACCUGAAAAUGAAGAAGGAAAACAAAAAAAGUGAAGGAUCAACAAUCAAUAGUAGCAAAACUGAGCUUUGAUCAAUAAUGGAACAAUAUUUGAACCAAAUAUUUCAAACCAAACUUGCAAAGACCCAUAACUCAAACCAUUUUAGCCCCCCCAAAUUAAACCAGAACUUAUUUCAGAAUUUGAAAGCUUCAGAAAUUACCAAAAGAAAAUCAAUGGAAUAGUAUCUUUGUCCAAUUUUUAGCAGUUUUGAUUUUUCUGAAUAUUUUAUAUUUCUAAAAUCUGAAUUGAGCUUCCUUUAGCAAUGCCUUUAUAGGCAAGCUAUUAGGGCAGCAGAAAUAGUUCAGUUAUCCCUUUAGACCUUUCACAAUUUUUAUUUUUACUGCUUGGUCCCUUAAUUACUGGCUUGUUGGCCAAGUAAGCUUAUUUUUCAGCUUCUAUGAAGCUUCCUAAGGCAGUUAUUAAAAGAUUCCCUAAGUUAACUACCCAAAUUAUCCUUAAAACCUCUGAAAAUUACCGCAGCAUAGCAAAUGGGUCAAGUUGACCUAGAUGGCCCAAUUUGAUAUGGGUUUGCUACCCAAUUUGAAUUUCUUUUGGGCUCUGAUUUUGAUUUGAAUUCAUUCUUGGCCAGAUGACCAUUUUUAGAAGACUAACUAAAUAUUUAUUAAAAGACCAAAAUAGAACUGUUGAAAUCAAAAUAAAGGAAAAUAAACUGAUUAAAGAAAAAUGUGCAACACUAAUCAUGCAUGAACAAAUAAAUAUGGAAACUAAAACACAUAAACAUUGAAACAAAACACUUUUGAAUUCAAAAUGAUUUUUCUAAAAAUUAAACAAACUAAAACAAAACUAAGGGGCACAACUAGCCUGAACUAAAAGGAACACAUGUAGAAAGGUCUUUGAGAAACCAAAAAGAAGAAGAAGAAUUAUAAAAGAAAAAUAAGAAAAGAAGACGAAGAAAGGACUAUGAGAAUACCUGUCCAAAAUAGGUAGGUAAGAACCUUGGAAUCGAUCCUUUGAAUAGUCCUAUUAUGGGCUGAAUUAGACCUUAAUCGCAUGUUCUCAAUGAAAAUACACAAAUAAAGUCCAAUUCAAACCCACAACUUUGUCCAACUAAUUGACGUGCACAUUUAGGAUUUUAGGGUUCUGCUUCAAAUCAAAUAUUUGAGGAUCUCAGGGGUGAUUUUGGGAAAGUUUGUCAUGGAAUAAGGUAGAGAAGGUGAUAGGGUGUAAAUUUGGUGACAGUUGGUGGCGGCGCCGCCGCCGGAAAAAAUUGGAUUUUAAAGGCGGCUGGCUAGGGUCCCGAUUUUUUAUCAGAUAUUUAAGGAAUCUUGGGUAUAUUUGAGGGAAGGUGACCGGAGAUUUGAGAAAAAAAUUAGGAUUUGAAAGGCGGCUGGCUAGGGUUUCGAUUUUUUAUCAGAUAUUUAAGGAAUCCUUGGUAGAUUUGAGGGAAGGUGACCGGAGAUUUGAGAUGAGGGGGUUGAGGAGAGGCAGUGGUGUAAUUUUUCGCCGUGAUUGGCCGCCAACCACCGCCGUGGGCGAUUUCUGGCGGGAGGCGGACGGUGGCCCAAGGGUGGCGUUAUGCUCGGGCUUCUGAGGGUGUGUGAGAGAUGGUUUGGGGGUAAAUGGGGGGGGGGGGGUUCCAACAUAUUUAUAUUAAAAGAGCCAUUAGUUCUCGUUCGUUAGAUGAAGGAAAAUCAACGAUCCCAAUCGCCUUUAAACAAAAUGGGGUCGUUUGGUUAUAUGGGGGAUGCUGGAUUGGGUUUUGACGGGUUUGUGCUGGGUUUGGAUGGAUUUUGGAUGGGUUUUUAAUUGGGUUGGCCCAAAAUCCAUGCCUUCUUUUAUUAAGAAAAACCUUUUCUCUUUUUUUAAUCAUUUUACAAUUUAUUUAUUUAUUUCCAAAUUAAAAAUAAAACUUGAGUUGAUUCUAAAACUAAAUUAAUAAACUAAUUGCUUCUCAAAUUUAAUUAAGUCCUAAAUAAAAGGGAAACUAUAACAACAUCUAAAAUUAAAGAGUUAAAAAUUCAAAAAUGAACUAUUUUGUGAUAUUUAUAAUAUUAAUGAACUAAUUAUCCUAAAAAUAUAAAAAAUGUGUCAUACAUGCAAAUGCACCAUUUUUUGUGUUUUUUAUGAAUUAAACAAAAUUAGACAUGCAUACAAAAUGCAAACAAAGAAUAAAAUUAUGCUGUAAUUCCUUAAAAACUAAUUAAUUAAAAGAAAAACCCUGAUUUUGGGAAUUCCGUAGGAGUAAUUCAUGAGAUGCAAAAAUCACGUGCUCAAAUUGUUGAGAGAAAUAAGCCUAGAACUCAUACUCAAAGGGUUUGAACUUCAAAAAGAUAAUGUCUUCACCCUUUAAUUGAUUCUAGUAUUGGUUUACUGAUUAUAAACCCUAGUUCAUGACAUAUGAAUUGAUGGGUUUCAUAGAAAACUACGGACGAUUAUAGGUUUAGGGUGUUGAUUGUUGGUUAAGGGUGUUGUUUACCUUAUGGGUGAUAAAGAAUAACGUUGAUUAUAACCAUUUGAGACUUUAGAAUUUAUUUAGGAGGAAGGGAAUGGGUUAUUAGGUGUAGAGACACCAUUAAUAAGUACUAUGAAGCUUUAUAUCACCAAAUGUUUGAGAAAAUGAUUAUGUGACUAAAACAUGAGAAUUAUUGCUAAUAUGGUAUUAAUAAGGACUAUGAAGCUUUAUAUCACCAAAUGUUUGAGAAAAUGUUUAUGUGACUAAAACAUGAGAAUUAUUGCUAAUAUGGAAUCCCUUUGACUUGUAUUGAUAUAGAUUAAAGUUGAAAGGGUUGGCGAAUGUUGUAUUAAGCUCAAUAGAAGGAAGUAAAGGUAUAUGAGUCUAACUCUCUAUGUUUGGGAAUAUUAAUGAUUCUCCCUAUACUACAUUUCUUUUACGAUGUAUCGAUUGCCUCAUAAAUAUAGUUAAGCCUAGUUCAUUGAAUAGUUGUUGAACUUCUAUUCUCUAGCUUCAUUACUCGUUCAUGACUUUCAUUCUGAAUGUUGUGAGCUCAGUUCAUAUUCAAUGUAGACUUGGGUUUGAUAUUCAUAAGUCUUAGUAUAGCUUACUCAACAUGUCAUAAACAAUUGAAGUUUCAGUGUUCAUAAUCAGUUCAAGAAUACAUGUAUAUUCUAGUCCUGCUUAGUAUUCCAGUAAUAUCUAACUCAGCAUAGAAGUCUUAGUAAAGCUUACUCGGCAUGUCAUAAAUAGUUUAAGUCUCAGUGUUCAUAAUCAGUUCAAGAAUACAUAUAUCAUUCUAGUCCUAUUUAAUAUUCCAUUAGUAUGUAACUCAGUAUGAUUUAGUAUUCCAAUAUUAUGUAACUUAGUGUGAUCCAAUAUUCCAGUAUCAUGUAACUCAGCGUGUGAUUCUACAUUUUAUUAUUAUGUAUUUCAGUAUGAUUCUAAAUUCCUAAUUUUAAUCCCUGAAUGUCGAACACCAGCAUUUGGGUCCGAGGCCGUACUUAUUGCUUUAUGCAUCUUUGGGCCUGAGGCUGCAUCUUAUGCUUUAUGCAUCUUUGGCCCCGAGGCUGCAGUUUAUGCUUUAUGCAUCAUUGGGCCUGAGGCCGCAGUUAUGUGUGUGUGUGUAUACAUAUAUAUAUAUAUAUAUAGUAUAUAUACAUUGGUGUCUAGCAUGACCAUGAGUUCCUAUUAUGCGAAUAGUUUGGAUUUAGUUAUACCUUCCAUGCUUGAUUGAUGAUUUCUAUAUGUUGUAAAGAGUUUGUGGAAAAGGAUUGUGAUCUUUUAACUUCGUGGAGUGUUGGCUCGAGUGAAACUCAAAUAGGUAUAUGAAUAUAUAUAUAUAUUUAUAUUGGGUCUAAGGCCGCAGUUUAAUAUUCAGAUAAAAAGGUUGUUCAUUAUUCAGAAAAGCGAUUAUUCAUAUCCUUACUUCCUUUGUUUAGUUCAGUUAUCAGUUAUUAGUUCACAUAUCAGUUACCACUUCAAUUUCAGUUUCAAUAGUUAUUAUUUAAGUUAUCAGCUUAGUUUUAGUUUCAGCAUUUAUAAUUCUUUCUUUUAGUUGCUUUACAUACCAUUGCAAUUCAAAUGUACUGAUGUGAUGACCCAUAUGGGUCAUCACUUGUUUUCUUACCAUUCUGUACCUCUGAGUCCUUGAAAACCCCAUUCAGUGUUACCUAGAUUUGCAUGUGCAAUCCGAGCGCAUAGCCGAAAAGCUCAAGUAUGAAUUCUGUGAGAAAAAUGCUAAUUUUUUAUAUUAAAUUGAAUAAAGUUGAUUUCGGUCAAUAUUUUGGGCAAACAUAUCCGGACUCGUGAUUUAACGGUCCCGGAGGGUCUGCAGCAUAAUAUGGAACUUAGGUGUAUGCCGAAACAGAAUUCCGAGGUCCCAAGCCCGAGAAAUGAAUUUUUGUGUGAAAUUAUUUUCUAAAAAUGAUUAAGGAACUUGGAAAGGAAAUUUGAUCGAAAGAUUAUGGUAUUGAUUCCGUAUUUUGGUUCCGGUGUCCGGUACAGGUCUUAUAUGUGGUUUAAGCACUUUCUGUAAAGUUUGGUUGAAAACAGGCGUUGUUUGACGUGUUUCGGACUUAAAAUGAGAAUUUGAUAUUUUCUGGAAACUUGGAAGAUAUUAUGAAUUUUGAGGCUUAAUUUGAUGUAUAUGAUGUUAGUUUGGCAAUUUGAUCGCACGGACAAGCCCGUAGGAUAUUUUCGAGGUUGUGUGUAUGUUUUGUUUGGAGCCUCGAAGGCUCGGGCGAGUUUUGGAUAGGAGUCGGAUUUAAUUUAUGCAUUUUUGGAAAAUCAGGUAUCACUGAUCUGUUGGCUUCACAUUUUCAAAGCCAACAUUCGCAAAUGUGAAGGUCCAGCUCUGGCAGAUGCGAAGGUUAGUUGACAAAUGCGAAACUAGCCCAGACCCGUCAAUGUUCGCAAAUGCGAAGCAAUUACCCGCAAAUGCAAAGGUCAAGGGUUCGCAAAUGCAGGGCCAUGUUCGCAAAUGCGAAGGUUCCCUGAUAGGCAUGACUUCGCAAAUGCGAAAAUAAAUGUCGCAUUUUCCACGCCUGCAGUUGCGAACCAAUUUUUGCAAAUCCCAUAUCAGCAGCCCAACAAUUUUUAUACUUAAUCAGUUUUCCACCUUAUUUCGCCAUUCUUUUAAGACCCAAACCCUAUAGGCGGUUUUUCAAGGACAAAACUUCUUCCAAAUUAGUGUUAAGUCGAUUUUUUCUAAAUUCCUUCAAUCAUUUACAUCAUCUAACAUGUUUUCUACUUCAAUUCAAUGAUUUUCAUGGGUAAAAUUGGGGGUUUUGGGUAGAAUCUAGGUUUUUCAAAAAAUUGGGGGUUUGGACCUCAUUUUGAGGUCCAAUUUCAAAACAAAUCAUAGACAUGGAUUCGUGGGGGAAUGGGUGACUCGGUUUUGGUUUUAACUUUGAGUUUUGACCACGCGGGCCCGGGGGCAUUUUUGGGUUAAAACUUUGAGAAAUUCAUUUUUUAUGCAUUCAAAUUGAUUCAUUUAGAAAUUGUUGAUGUAUUUAAGUAAUUUGUGACUAGAUUAGAGCCAUUUUGUGGUGGAACCGAGGGGUAAAUCCAUAGUUGAGGUUUGAGCUUAAUUCCAGCCAUCGAGGUAAGUGUUUGGUUUAACCCUAGCUUGAGGGAAUAGGAGUGAGUCUUAUAUGUUACUUGCUAAUUGCCGAGUACGAUGUAUAGUCAUGGUGACGAGUAUAUAUACAUUGGUGUCUAGCAUGACCAUGAGUUCCUAUUAUGCGAAUAGUUUGGAUUUAGUUAUACCUUCCAUGCUUGAUUGAUGAUUUCUAUAUGUUGUAAAGAGUUUGUGGAAAAGGAUUGUGAUCUUUUAACUUCGUGGAGUGUUGGCUCGAGUGAAACUCAAAUAGGUAUAUGAGAAAAGUAAAUCUUUGGAGCAUUGGCUUAAGUAAUAAUGUGAACUAUGAGAUGAAAGUGGAAGUAAGAGAAAGAGUUAAUGAUAUUUCCCCUUGUGGGGCAUUGUUGAUUAUUGAAUAUUUUUCUUUGCCGGGAUUUUCAUUAUUAUUUAUUUAUUUCCUUGCCCUUGUUUGGGAUUGUUGAUUGGGUGAGGAAGAGUGUUAAAGCACGAAGGGUGAUGCCGUGCAUUGUUUGACAUUAUGAGGAAAGAGUGUAAAGCACGAAGGGUGAUGCCGUGCCGUAGAAUGUACCAUUCCAUACUGAUAUUCAUUGAUUACAUAUUAUGAGGAAAGAGUGUAAAGCACGAAGGGUGGUGCCGUGCCGUACAAUAUACCAUUCCGUAUUGAUAUUUAUUGAUUAUAUAUUGUAAGGAGAGAGAGUAAAAGCACGGUUCCAUACUGAUAUUCAUUGAUUACAUAUUGUGAGGAAAGAGUGUAAAGCACGAAGGGUGGUGCCGUGCCGUACAAUAUACCAUUCCGUAUUGAUAUUUAUUGAUUAUAUAUUGUAAGGAGAGAGAGUAAAAGCACGAAGGGUGAUGUCGUGCACAUGAUUUACUUAUACGAUUGAUUUGGUCAGGAUGAGAGUAAAAGCACGAAGGGUGAUGCUGCGCACUUGGUGAUCUUUGUUCCUUAUUGUUGUAUGAGUUAUGUUUUCCUUUAUAACGGUCAAAUUUUUACUUGAAACUGUUAUCUCCCCAUGGCAUGCUUCCCCUCCGGUAUUGUUUACUUGCCUAGUAUUUCGAUUCCGCUGUAUAUUUAUAAUUGCAAAGGUUCAUGUGGUAGUCCAGUCUAGCCUCCUACUACAUCGCCGGGGUUAGGCUAGACACUUACCAGCACAUGGGGUCGGUUGUGCUGAUAUUACACUCUAUGCUAAUUUUGCACAGAUCCAGGUUUCGAGCAGCAGCAACAGUUGUAGCGUGGAAGCAGACUUUCAGCCUAGUGAGACUCGAGGUAGCCUUGCAGCCGUCCGCAGGCCCAGCUUCUCCUCUAUUCUUACUUUAGACUGUCAUCUCCUUGUAUUCGAGAUAAAUAGAUUUAUGUUUCUUUCAAACCUUAUAUUUAGUAUUCUUAUAUGCUCGUGAGUAUGUGACUCCAGUUCUUGGUUAGAGAUUAUGUUGAAAAUUUCAUAUUUUUAUUCAGCAAAUUAAAUUUAAGACUUCCGCUUAUGAUUUUAAUCCCGUUGAUUCUAUUUUAGUGCUAUUAAAUUACAAAGAGGAACAUGUGUUUAUUUAAAAGUAAUUAAGUUUGGCUUGCCUAGCUUCUAUUAGUAGGCGCCAUCACGAUCCCCGAGGGUGGAAAAUCCGGGUCGUGACAAGUUGGUAUCAGAGCACUAGGUUGCAUCGGUCUCAUAACUCACGGACAAACUUUGUAGAGUCUGACGGAUCCGUAUAUAGACUUCUGUAUUUAUCCCCAGAGGCUACUGAGUUAGGAAAAAUUUCAAAUUUUCUCUCUCUUGUCGUGCGGUUCUGUUUCUCAAAUACUGAUUGUCUUUCUACUCUAUUCUUCGGAAAUGGAAAUAACACGCGCUUCCUCAUCUUCUGAUCAGCAGCCCGAGCCCUAGCAGCUCCCACUAGGGGCAGAUGUCGAGGCCGUGAUAGAGCCCGAGCUCAGCCCCGAGCAACAGUACCAGCGGUGGAGCCGAGAUUCAUAUGAUAUGGGCCAACUUUCUAGGACUUUCCAGUCAGCUCUCCAGGCUUCUCAGGGUGCCCCCGGUGGCCGUGGUUCUCAAGUGCAUUAUUCUGAUCAGCAGCCAUUCAGUGCAGUGCCAGCUCCCAUCAGUGCACCGCCACUUUAGAGCUUCCGUGGUAGUCAUUCAGGUUGAGAGGGUCAGUACCAGUCCCCUUAGCAGCCGAGGUCUUGCUACACAUGUGGAGAUCCUGGUCACGUUGCUAGAUUUUCCCACGAGCACUAGGUAAUUCGCAGCAGCAGGGUUCUCGCGCCAUGGUACAGGCCCUAGGUGUUCCACAGCCCGCCCCGCCAGCUAGAGGUGGAGGUAGAGGUCACAGAGGUGAAGCUCAGGCCGCCAGGGGUGGAGGCCAGCCAACAGUCGCCCGUCCUAGAGAGGUGGCUCAGGGAUGGGGGGCCCAACCCUGGUGUUAUGCUUUUCUAUCUAGACCAGAGGAUGAGUCUUCAAAUGCAGUCAUUAUAGGUACUAUUCUGGUUGGUGAUAGAGAUGCUUCAGUGCUAUUUGAACCAGGGUCUACGUAUUCGUAUGUGUCAUCUUAUUUUGCACCGUACCUGGUUAUGCCUAGUGAUGCAUUGAGUAUCCCUAUUUAUGUGUCUACAUCGUAGGGAGAUUCUAUUGUGGUCGAAAAAGUUCAUCGUUCCUACACAUAAGUGCAUAAUGUAGCAUCAACACAAUAGACCCCAUGUAAACUGGUGGGUGAUUCUAUAGUGGUAGACCGAGUUCAUCGUUCCUGCUGUAGCACCUCCUCUUUACACUAAUCCCCACGAAGGGCGUAGAAAUAGAGUUUUUCCAAUUAAAAGACAAUCGAAAUGGGAUUUAUUUACUUAGAGAUUUCAGAGUUGCCACUUGGGAUGAUUAAUGGUGUCCCAAGUCACCGAUUUAAGUUCCGAAUCGAGGAAAGUAAGACUCGGUUAUACAGUCUGCGAGAUAGAAAUCCGGGUAAGGAAUUUUGUUAACCCGAGAGAAGGUGUUAGGCAUUCCCGAGUUCCGUGGUUAUACAGUCUGCGAGAUAGAAAUCCGGGUAAGGAAUUCUGUUAACCCGGGAGAAGGUGUUAUGCAUUCCCGAGUUUCGUGGUUCUAGCAUGGGUCGCUCAACAGUUAUAUUCGGCUAAAUUAUCUGAUUUUAAUACAAUUUUUUGUAUCUAUGUGCAAAUUUUAACUUUUAACCGCUUUUAUUUAAUCUUAAGAAGAUUGCAACGUUGAUAAAAUGUGUCUCGAACCACGUCACACAAAUGCACCCGUAGUCUUUGACAUAUUUCAACAUCGUUGGGAUUUGGAUUUGGGUCACAUAAAUGCGCAACCGAAUUUAGGAAAGUAAAUUGUUUAACUAGCGUGCUUAAGGCAAUCUCGUACUUACAAAUCUGCGAGGGCCAUGAAAAUUUGCUAAGUGGUGCACCUCGGAUUCUAAAGGUUCGAAUUUGGUCGAGCAAUACAAUUAUUCAAUUUUAUUUGGCAUUGACACACAUUGAUUUCAAAUUAAAAGGACUAAUUUAACUAUAAUUGGAGGGCCAUAAUCGUUUGUGUUACUAAUACGACUUAACUCAAUGAAUUAAAUGGCGCACUUAAUUUGAAGCAAACUAUAAGGAUCAAGUUCAUUUGAGAUAACUAAAGGUUCCUGCUUAAGGAGAACUUGCUCCUUCUUAAACUGGCCCAGUCUCAUUUUUAAAUUUUUCUUCAAGGUUUGGGCCUAACCUAGUUCUUGGCCCAAGUGCUAUGCGACAAACCCCUGUACUAAAGCGAGAGGGAAACUGGGCUCAGAACAUGAGCCCAAAAUAGGCUGAAGAAUGCACAACUCUAAAUAUCAGUGAACAAGAAUUAAAAAGGCGACAUUACCCCUAAUUUGACAGUUUAUGGAUCAGAAGUAUUGUCAAGUACUUAUUAAUACAAUAUUCUCAAAACUAAAAUACUUACUAGCACAAUAAUACAAUCUUAGUGAUGGACUUGUAGAACUCUACACUCAAAAUUUAAAAACCUUUCAACAAUCCUCAAAUAAGCAUUAAAUAGAACAUAACCACAAAUUUUUACAUGAACAGACCUUAUUUGAAGUAUAAUAGGUCUACUAUUGAUCCAUACUUCAAAACAUGAUGUUGAUGAAUACUAUAGCAAUGAACCGAGGACAUCAGACUUCUCUUAAUGAACAAAAAUCAUUCGAAACAUGCAUAAAUCAAGGAGAUAAACUGAAAGUACUACAUAUGAAUUUGUACAUCUACUACUAUUAAAUACAAAUCAUUAACUAAAUUAAACAGAGGUUAUAAUAGAAAGUCAUAAGCAAGGUGGAAUAAUUCUUCAUAUUGCAAUGCAUUCCUCAAACUCUUACUUCAUAAUCGGCAAGGUUACAUAGUUGUGUACCUGGAAAAUGAGAAACAAAGGAGAUCUAAGUGGCAGCAGGCUUAGAAAUAGCAGAACAUACCAGAAAAAUCCAAACGAGAACCAAAUGAAAUUUGAAACAACUCCAAACCAACCAGUCCAAAAGCAACACAACUGACUCUAAUACCAAAUUUCAAACAAUCUAUACUCAGCUCAUUUUAACCCAGUAAAAUCAAGCAACUCUCUCAGAAGAUCAAAUUUUCAAAUUAGAUUUCAAACAACCUAUACUCAGCUCAUUUUAAUCCAGUAAAAUUAGGCAACUCUCUCGGAAGCUCAAAUUUUCAAAACCAGUUGUCAAACUUUAGAAAUUAAACCUAUGGUUGAACUAGCCUCUCAAAUUGAACCUAAAAGGUAUUUAGGACUGGAAAACAUCAGAAUUCAACAACGAGGUCAAUGAAACAGCAGUCCCUUUGCCAUCUGGAGCUUUUGGGGUAUUUUAGCUCUUCUUUUCUCUAUGAUCCUCAAAGGAACAGUAUUUUUACUAGAGUUUUUGAGCUAUAUAUAUUUUUUGAGUUUUCAGAAUUCCCCCCUUUUUAAAAGUCUCUCUUAAAGCCUUCUCAGAACUCCAUCGCUCAAAAACAUGGCUUCUAAGGCAAGAAAGGCUGCCUUUAUACGCAAGCAAACUAAGGGAACCCUUAAAUUUUACUUUCCGAAAUUACUAAAAAUCGUAUAUUAAUUAUGAAUGUUACAUUCGAAUGCUAAUAAUCCUCUAUAAUUAUUAUCACGACCAAUUAAAACUAAAUUAAAAGCAAAAUCACCUAAAAUAAAAAGAGCACAUUAAGCUAUAUUUUUUGAUUUUUUCUUUUUUAUAAAAUAACUACAUUAUUGAAUAAUUCUAUAUAUUUGAAAUCAACUCCUAAAUGCACAUGCAACAUAUUUUUUUAUUUUUGAUGAAUGUGUGUUUAAUUAAAAUGCAUGCAAAAUGCAAACAAUUAGCAAAAACGUCAGGAAAAUUCACAAAUUUUCAAACAACUAAAAGAAAUGAUUUUUUUUGAAUUUAUAGGAAUGAUUCAUGUAGGCAAAAAUCACAUUCUCACAUCUGCCCCUCUUUGCCGGAAAACAUGAAGAGUUUUCGUGCAAAGACAAAUGAGCAAAUACGAGCGAUUCUUGCCCAUUUGAAUAAUCCGUGAGAGGCAUUUUUAAUAUCUUGAGCCGCACCUUGUUACAGAGGUUGCCUACAUAUCCUCGGCUAAAGAGGAAUCAGGUCAGUGUAGUUCAGGAGUGUUUGGUAGCUGGGACUACCGAAGCCGUGCUUGCGCUGCUGAUGCUGCUACUGCUACUGCUUGCUAGACCUCCUUAUUACCCUAUGUAAAAAUAAAAGAAGCUAGACUAAGCUAUGGACUAUGGAUUACAAACGAACCUAUCUAUGUAUUCAAAAUUGCUCUUGAUCUUUGUUGCCUUGUGUAUCUCCCUGAGAAACUUCUUGUUUUCUUACUGUACUUCCUUCUGGGAAACUUCUUG